This 1822-nucleotide long non-coding RNA is filed under the name Vulpes vulpes (red fox). RNAcentral describes it as "lncRNA (ENSVVUG00000009107.1)". The record is from RNAcentral. Lineage: Eukaryota; Metazoa; Chordata; Mammalia; Carnivora; Canidae.
UGUUUUAAAUAUUUCCAUCCCUAAUUUUAAAAUUUCUGGAUGUUAAAGCAAACUUACCCACUAAGAGAACCGUGUCAUCCUAGGUGUCUGGGGAGCCCCUCUCCAAGUGACUUUUUGGAAACGUGUCCUCAGUGGUCCUGCAGAGAUUUUGUCCCAAGGCUCCUGGGCAGCUCCCCUCAGGCCCCAGCUACCCCACGGAGCCCUCUUCCACGGCUGCCGGGUCGUUGCUGCCCAAAGGGGCCGGUUGCACAGUCCACGGCCUCCUAGGCUCAAGUUACACUUCAUCUGAUUCCUCCACCUACACACACAGAAGUUAGAAACUCCUACCCAGGUUGCUAUACAACUUGUCUGGAUGUAAUUCCUCUAUUGAAGGAUUUAUCUGAAUUCUUUCCACGUUUUUCCAGCUCCUGGGGCCACCAGUCUCCCAGCUGUUGACUAGUCAAAUUUCUCCUGCUGCUGCCCGACUCUGGGGACAGGCCUGGUGGCACGCGGAUGCGUGUGACAGGAGGAUCUGUGUUUAACAGAAGAUGGUGGCUUAGUUGGGAUGAUGAAGCCCUGGGGGAGGCAGGAGCAAACGGCGAAUCUGUUUGCCUGGACCUUCUCCGCUUUCUCCAUCGUUGUACUUCCUGCGCUCGUUGGACGGUGCUUCGCGGCCGUUUCUGUUGGCCUCCCAGGCUAGGUGGCUCCAUGGCCCGACCCUGCACCCCUCACCGAGUCUCCUGCUCCGCUGGUGUGAGAGCUCCGUUGCUGUGUUAGGGGUGGGCUGGGGCACCGUCUGGCUUGGGGAAGUGAAGCAAGUGUACGUGCCUUUCCACCUACACGUCCCAGAGACGUGGAUACCUAUGGAGCUAGUGUACCUGCCUAAACAGGUUCAGCAACGAAGAAGCUUCGGUUCUCACACUCCAAGACUAGAUGGGACUGCUGGCCACAUGGUUUUCACGACUCUGAUAAAGCCCUGACCCGGGUCACACCCGGAUGAAUGUCAGGGGGAGCUGCCCUUUAGCUCCUGUGUACAUACAUCUCUGGUUCAUGAUUCUGGGAUGAGCCCACGAUGGUGGUGCCAUGAACAGCUUUUUCUCUAACCUGAGAUACAGAGAGAAAAGCCUAGAAUAUUGCUUUGUAUGAUUUCUUGUCAUCAGGACUUCUGCUCGUCUUUUGGAGGAGAUGGAAGGGACAGGGAAGCAGAUGAAUCAUCCCCGUCACGAUGGCCAACACCAUCCCGGCUCAGCUUUCUGCAGGGAUUCCCUCCGCUGGGCCCCUCUCUGAGAGUGCUGACCAGGGCUACCCACUGAGCUGUACCUGGCGAAGGCACCCAACACCUUUCAUCCUUCACUCUUUCCCUCCCUACUUUAUUGAGAUUGGCAAAAUUUAAACAUUGUCCAAAUUUGAACAUGCUGUCGGUGGGGUGGUUGCUCUAUCCACCUUCGGCCUUUCUCUUGCAUGUGCUGCUCCUCGCGGUGGCUCCGGGUAUGAGGAGAGCCCGGGUGGGACGGCACUGGCGGCUCUAGGGAGCCUGGCGCUCGGCCCUCAGGAGAACAGCACACAGGGAUAGAAGCGUCACUGUCUGGGGUGGGAAGGCCUGGGAAACUGAGGUGAGCAGCCGUUUUGAGGAUUCACCUGUAAGUAGUAGGUGAUCUUGGGACACGAGGUUUAGGUCCAUGUAGGCAGUAAACAGACACUUCUCAACACCUACGAUGCGCUGAGGUUCUUGGGACAGAUCAGUGAGCGAAGGAAACAAAAAUCCCUACCUUUGUGGAGCUUACAUUCCAUUGGGAGAAAGAUGGUAAAAAAAUAAAGGUGUUGGGGAUCCUUGGGUGGCUCA